UGCUGCCAGCAUCAUAGCAGAUAGACUGCUUGCUCUUGUCAGACGAGAUGAACGUAUCUCUCCAGGAGCAUCCAGUGUAUUUUAAGACAGCCUUGAAGCCAAAUCAAUUGGAAGCCACAAUUACUAAGAAUGAAGAUUAAAUAUAAUGAGCAAGAACCAACCUGUGAGGAUGAGUCGGGAUCAUGAAAUCCAUGAACCUUGCAAUGUUUUAUGGUUCAGUAACAGCUUGUACCAAGGUCCAGUGCCAAGUCUGACCAAGAACAAAUUGCCUGCCUCUGAAUUUAAAGGUCUCUGGAAUUAAACUGUCUCCCUGUACUGCAGAAUCACAUUAUACAAAGCACAGUGCCUUGGGCCAUUGGAUAAUGGAGUAGAACACGGACCUAAUGAGAUGUGAUGGUAACCCCUAAUCCACACCAUACCUGACUGACCCCACUAAUGACUCAAUAAAGUCCAUCUCUGUCACA
RNAcentral lists this long non-coding RNA (464 nucleotides) under Mus spicilegus (steppe mouse). RNAcentral describes it as "lncRNA (ENSMSIG00000005630.1)". The record is from RNAcentral. Lineage: Eukaryota; Metazoa; Chordata; Mammalia; Rodentia; Muridae.